GACGAACGCUGGCGGCGUGCUUAACACAUGCAAGUCGAACGGAAAGGCCCUGCUUUUGUGGGGUGCUCGAGUGGCGAACGGGUGAGUAACACGUGAGUAACCUGCCCUUGACUUUGGGAUAACUUCAGGAAACUGGGGCUAAUACCGGAUAGGAGCUCCUGCUGCAUGGUGGGGGUUGGAAAGUUUCGGCGUUUGGGGCUGGACUCGCGGCUUAUCAGCUUGUUGGUGUGGUAGUGGCUUACCAAGGCUUUGACGGGUAGCCGGCCUGGGCGGGUGAACGGCGACCAUGGGACUGAGAUACGGCGCAGUAUGCUACGGGCGGCAGCAGUGGGGAGCAUUGCACAACGGGGGGAAGCCUGAUGCAGCAACGCCGCGUGCGUGAUGACGGCCUUCUGGUUGUAAACCGCUGUCGCCUGUAACGUACCGUGAGUGACGGUAAUGAGUAAAGAAGCACCGGCUAACUACGUG
Molecule: ribosomal RNA, 468 nt
Filed under: uncultured bacterium
Lineage: Bacteria
Description: partial 16S ribosomal RNA
Rfam family: Bacterial small subunit ribosomal RNA
Source: RNAcentral